UACGGAGGGGGCUAGCGUUGUUCGGAAUUACUGGGCGUAAGGCGCACGUAGGCGGCUUUGUAAGUUAGAGGUGAAAGCCCGGGGCUCAACCCCGGAAUUGCCUUUAAGACUGCAUCGCUUGAACGUCGGAGAGGUGAGUGGAAUUCCGAGUGUAGAGGUGAAAUUCGUAGAUAUUCGGAAGAACACCAGUGGCGAAGGCGGCUCACUGGACGACUGUUGACGCUGAGGUGCGAAAGCGUGGGGAGCAAACAGG
Molecule: ribosomal RNA, 253 nt
Filed under: uncultured bacterium
Lineage: Bacteria
Description: partial 16S ribosomal RNA
Rfam family: Bacterial small subunit ribosomal RNA
Source: RNAcentral